GCCAUGGCUCCUGAAAGAAAUAAAAGAUGAUCAUCUUUCUAAAAAGUCGUAAGUCUGAAUUAUUAGUAACUUAACUGGAGAAUCUCACUUUUCCUACUCUCGUAUUUUAACCACAGUUGCUCUAACACAGACCUUUGAGGAUCUUUUCAUGACUUCAUUCACAAAUACCUAUUUAUGCUGUACAGAUGCUACUAGGAAGGAAAUAGGGAUGUCUGUUUUGACUGUGGAACUUAACUUGGUCUCGUCUCUUUGUGCAUGCAACCCUGUCCUUGGGAUAGCUUUCUUGAGCAUAUCUACUUAUGUUCAAGAGGUAAAUUGUCCUGAAACCCCCAUUGCUGUAAGUAUUUACUUUAUUACUCAUAAUACUUAAUGCUCUUAAAAGUUGGGGUAUUUUUUUUUGGAUACCUAAACUUCAUUGAGAUACUUUGAACUAUUUAUAGAGAAAACGGAACCUUCUGAUACCUGGCUUCUAUUUCUUAAAAUGUUAUGAUCAUACAUGGCUUAGGGCUUUAUGGCCAAAUAACUUCACUGAACCCAGGAAAAAGAAUAGAUCCAUCUGAAACAGACCUGUAGCUUCCAGCGGCCUAAAUUUUCGGCUCCAUUUGUAUCCUUCAUUUUCUGUGAGGAAAAGAAGUGGAAGGAGACAAGCCUCAGCCCUUCCCCUGGCACCUUUACUCUUUACCCUUCCUCCUGGCAUGGUGGAAAGUGCACUGGAGGAGGAGUGAAGGGCCCUAGGUUUGCAUCCAUGUUCUGCCACUUGCCAACCUUAAUGGCCCUUACAGUUGAUUUACCCUCAUGAAAUUUGGAAUGAUUUCUAAAGUCUUUCCUCGCCCUGAAUGUUAACAUUUUCUGACAGUCAGGACUUUCUGUAGCUUCACCUUCCUUAUUUAGUGUUAUUUUUUUCUCAAGACUGAACAGAGAAGGAAGCUGUCAAAGUGUGCUGGGCACACACCCUGCAGUGGGGCAAUGGCCAAUUCUAAUCUCAAGUCAUUAGGCUGCAGUAGCAUGAUCACUGCUUCCUGUCUACCCUCAGAGGGUAGAGACAGCUGAGCUCCUGUAGUUGGGGUCAGGCCCAGCCACUCUGUGGGGACAGUGAUUAGUGUUGUGUCACCAAUUCAGGGAAGGAGCCACCUUGUCUAAUUUUCCCUCUUGAAUUAUCUUGAUAUGACCCCAUUAUAAAUUUCCUUUUGUAAACCUCUGUCUCCCAAUUUCUCCUUUUAGCUUACUUUCUAUUGAAGUAGAGGAACAGAGAAUACAACUUCCAUCCUCUUUCAUCAGCCCUGAGAGCAGAACGCAAGCCCUGUUACUGGGAACUAUAUCCUUGGCUCCCUGGAUGUGGCUAUUAACUUCUGGCCUGCCACUCUAUCACAUACACAUAUGGAGAUGGUGUCAUCCAUGUCCCUUACCCCGUAUUUACAACUUCUAUCACCCAACAGUGCCAAUGACCCUGAUGGUCCCUCUGGGAGGGAGAGAAGAGUAAGCUGGAGUCACCCCUUCCCUGUACUUCCCACCUCGCCAGGCCUGUUGGUGUUAGUGUCCCUUCUGAUCUUGGCCUGACCCCUGUCCCCUGGGCACUGGGCUGCAGGUUGGAGAGGCAGCAUGAUGGAGUGGGGAUAACACAUACUCCAAAACCAAACAGAAGCCAGACCUGGGUUGGGUCCUGGCGAAACAGUCUAGAGGCUUGGUGACCUUAACCUCCUAAUUAAUCUUCCUAAGCAUAAGUUUCCUUAUCAUAAGUUAUGUAUGAUAAAAUUUUCCUUGGAUGCAUUCAUUUUAGCAUGACUUGAAAUUAUGUGUGAAGGAACCUGGCCCACGGAAGUUGCCCUGUAAAUUCAGAUUCACUUUCCCUUGGACAUAUGGAUGACAUUAGCUCAUUACAGUUAUGACCUCCCUAAAACUCCCAAAUAUUCUUUAAGUUCUUCUCUUAUUUUCCCUUUAGUUUGUUUGUAGUCAUAUUUCUUAGUUCUUAUAUCAGGUGGGAUUCCCACAUCUUCUAGUUGGACAAUAUUGGAGAAGACACCACAUUUUAACUGAGUUCCAGUGAUAUGACAGGCUUUCAAUUCUCUAAUCUCACAGAAGUUAGAAAAAAAGUAGAUAAUCAAAAUCCACAGAAAAUACAGAAGAUUCCAUUAACUCUGAGAAUGAUUCUCAGGUAUCCUUAGGACCUCAAGAAAGCUGUUCUCUCCUGGGCCUGUAGAGAGUUCAAGUGCCAGGAAUCUACCACAAAGUAGGGGGGAGGUGCAGGGCAGCGGGGGGCACAGUGAAGUGCUGAAGGGCUUCUCAGCCUUCUUUAAUUAGAGUGAGAAGAAAAGAGCACCUCCUCAUUUUAGAGUACAAGGUGUGAACUCACUCUCAGCUGCCAAGUGAGCUUCACCUUGGGCUGUUUUGCAUGCUUUCUCCUAGUGCUUUAAGCCACCCUGAGAUGUACAGACCAAUACUGGCCAUCACAAAAAUAUACUCGAGUACAUAGACCAUUGACACUAUAAAGCAAGUAAACAAUGAAGUCUACAUAACAGCCAAAUAACAACAUGAUGAUAGGAUCAAAUCUGCACAUAUCAAUAUUAACCUUGAAUGUAAAUGAGCUAAAUGCCUCAAAUAAUAGGCAGAGAGUGGCAAGUUGGACAGAGAAGCAAGACCCAACUGUAUGUUUUCAAGAGACCCAUCUCAUAUGCAGGGACACCAAUAGCCUCAAAGUAAGGGAUGGAGAAAGAUCUAUCAAGCAAAUGGAAAACAAAAAACAGCACUCUCUGUCCAACAAAAACAGAAUAUACAUUCUUUUCAGCUGCACAUGGUACAUACUCUUAAAAUUGACCACAAUUGCUUUAUUGGCCAGAAAGCAAUUCUCAACAAAUUCAAGAAACCUGAAAUACCAGCCAGGUGUAGUGGCUCACACCUGUAAUCCCAACACUUUGGAAGGCUGAGGUGGGCAAAUCACUUGAGGUCAAAAGUUUGAGACCAGCCUGGCCAACAUGGCGAAAACCCGUCUCUACUAAAAAAUAUAAAAAUUAGCCGUGCAUGGUGGCAUGCGCCUGUAAUCCCAGCUACUUCGGAGGUUGAGUCACGAGAAUUGCUUGAACCUGGGAGGAGGAGGUUGCAGUGAGCUGAGAUCACGCCAUUGCACUCCAGUCUGGUUGACAGAGUGAGACUCAUCUCAAAAAAACAAAAAAAAACCCUGAAAUACCAACCACACUCUUGGACCACAGUGCCAUAAAAAUAAAUACCAGGAAGAUCUCUCAAAACCAUAUAAUUAAGUGGAAAUUAAUCUACUCCUGAAUGACUUGGGUAAACAAAGAGAAAUUAAGGCAGAAAUCAAGAAAUUGUUUACAACUAAUGAAAACAAAGAUAAAAA
RNAcentral lists this non-coding RNA (3349 nucleotides) under Pan troglodytes (chimpanzee). The record is from RNAcentral. Lineage: Eukaryota; Metazoa; Chordata; Mammalia; Primates; Hominidae.